This 477-nucleotide ribosomal RNA is filed under the name uncultured bacterium. Its description in RNAcentral is "partial 16S ribosomal RNA". It matches the Rfam family "Bacterial small subunit ribosomal RNA", at positions 899 to 1397 of the family's 1533-position model. The record is from RNAcentral.
ACUCAAAGGAAUUGACGGGUCCCCGCACAAGCAGCGGAGCGUGUGGUUUAAUUCGAUGCAACGCGCAGAACCUUACCCAGACUUGACAUGACGUGGAAAGGCUUGGAAACAGGCCCCCCGCAAGGCCGCGUCACAGAUGUUGCAUGGCUGUCGUCAGCUCGUGUCGUGAGAUGUUGGGUUAAGUCCCGCAACGAGCGCAACCCUCGUGCUGUGUUGCAGAUCACAGCAGACUGCCGGUACAAGCCGGAGGAAGGUGGGGAUGAUGUCAAGUCCGCAUGGCUCUUACGUCUGGGGCGACACACACGCUACAAUGGCCGGGACAAUGGGCGGCAACCCCGCGAGGGGGAGCGAAUCCCAAAAGCCGGUCUCAGUUCGGAUGGCAGGCUGCAACCCGCCUGCCUGAAGUCGGAGUUGCUAGUAACCGCGUGUCAGCAUAGCGCGGUGAAUACGUUCCCGGGGAUUGUACACACCGCCCGU